CCCUUAGAGUUUGAUCCUGGCUCAGGAUGAACGCUGGCAGUGUGCCUUAGACAUGCAAGUCGAACGGGGCGCCUUGCCUGAUCCCCUUCGGGGGUGAUGGUUUGGUUGCCUAGUGGCGAACGGGUGAGUAACACGUGGGUGACCUGCCCUCGAGUGUGGCAUAACAGGGGGAAACUCCUGCUAAUUCCGCAUGGUCUCGCGACUCUUGUGUCGUGAGUAAAGGCUUCGGCUGCUUGAGGAUGGGCCCGCGGCACAUCAGCUUGUUGGUGGGGUAAUGGCCUACCAAGGCGACGACGUGUAGCCGACCUGAGAGGGUGACCGGCCACAGGGGCACUGAGAUACGGGCCCCACUCCUACGGGAGGCAGCAGUUAGGAAUCUUCCACAAUGGGCGAAAGCCUGAUGGAGCGACACUGCGUGAAGGAUGAAGGCCUUCGGGUCGUAAACUUCUAAAAGAGGGACGAAAGCUGACGGUACCUCUUGAUUAGCACCGGCUAACUCCGUACCAGCAGCCGCGGUAAUACGGAGGGUGCAAGCGUUAUCCGGAUUCACUGGGUUUAAAGGGUGCGUAGGAGGGCAGGUAAGUCAGUGGUGAAAUCUCCGAGCUUAACUUGGAAACUGCCGUUGAUACUAUCUGUCUUGAAUAUCGUGGAGGUGAGCGGAAUAUGUCAUGUAGCGGUGAAAUGCUUAGAUAUGACAUAGAACACC
Molecule: ribosomal RNA, 706 nt
Filed under: uncultured bacterium
Lineage: Bacteria
Description: bacterial SSU rRNA
Rfam family: Bacterial small subunit ribosomal RNA
Source: RNAcentral